RNAcentral lists this long non-coding RNA (1181 nucleotides) under Callithrix jacchus (white-tufted-ear marmoset). RNAcentral's name for it is "lncRNA (ENSCJAG00000071728.1)". The record is from RNAcentral. Lineage: Eukaryota; Metazoa; Chordata; Mammalia; Primates; Cebidae.
GUCCCAUGGAGCUUCUGUCCCAUGACUCACCUGAACUGCCUUGGUUGGUUGGGUGCACACAGGACUUUGGCUCUCAAGCCGAGUCCUCCAAGGAUGGAGGUCAAGGACAGUGAAGAAAGAGGUUGAAGCCCAGUAAGAACAGAUCUGUACAAGACAGAUGAAGCCCUGGAAGUGUUGAGGGCAAGUUGUCACAAUAUUCAAGAGUGCCCAAGUGACCCAAGAUACUAGGUUGACAGAUUUAAUCAGAAACCUCACAACCCAGAAGGAAUUGGGCCCCCAUCUUUAACCUCCUGAAACAAUUGUCAGCCAAGAGUUUUGUAUUCAGCAAAACCAAGCUUCAUAAAUGAGAAAGUCUUUCAAAUGCUGAGAGAAUUCACCACCAAACCAGCACUACAAAAAAAAUUUCCCACCAUCUACACCUAGGAAAGGCCAUAAAGUUUCUUCUGAUCUUGGAGAUGUGACAAGAGAAUUCAAGAGAAAAGGGAGUUGGUUCUGCCAAUAAGGUAGUAUCCCUCAACUGUUGGGCAUAGACGUUCCCAGGCUCUUACCAGCGAAAGGACUCCAUGUAGAAGGAUACUUCUCAUGGUACUUUGGACUUCUUGUUCAAUGGUUUGUCUGCAAUGUUCUUUUGGGCCUUUGCAAGCACAUACAACUUGAGCCCACAAGAAGUUAAGCCUCCAAAGGAUGAGUAUUAAAAACCAUGAAGGGCUGGUUAAGCCCAGUGAAUUAUCUACAGAGAAUCAAAGUCCCAGAGGUGUCCUCAGCUCCAUCCCAUGCUCCGAGAUACAACUGUUCAACAUUCACAAGGAGGAGGAGAUGGUGUCCCUGGACACCAGACAGUAGUUGUGCUCUCUUGUCUAAUAGAGAAGCAUAGGAACAAUAUCACAGGAGCAAGAGGGUUCCUGCACAACAGGGCAUCCGCAGCAGCCUUGCUGCCAUCACCUGGCUUCACCUUCUAGACUCCUUUGAACAUGUGGAAGAUACUGAGGCCCAGAGAAACCUACCAAGAGAUUUUACUGCAAGCUUUCCAACACCUCAGCAGUUACUUCAGUUCAUCCUUCACAUGUCAGCCACUUCUCUUGCUCUGCCUUGGCAGAAUCACCAAAAAGACACAAAACAGGGAGAAGAAUCACGAAAGAGGAAAGAUGCUCAUCACCAGGCAGCAGCCCCAGCAGUGCAAC